This 205-nucleotide unclassified non-coding RNA is filed under the name fungal sp. RNAcentral describes it as "partial contains small subunit ribosomal RNA, internal transcribed spacer 1, and 5.8S ribosomal RNA". The stretch from base 1 to 46 matches the Rfam family "Eukaryotic small subunit ribosomal RNA", at positions 1786 to 1831 of the family's 1831-position model. Lineage: Eukaryota; Fungi. The record is from RNAcentral.
AAGUCGUAACAAGGUAACCGUAGGUGAACCUGCGGUUGGAUCAUUACCAAUCCUGGCUCGCGAGAGUCAUUCAACCCCAUGUGCACUCAUUAUUGUUUCUGGGUUAUAAUUUAUUAUAGCCCAACCUUUUUAUAAACCUUACUAUCUGUCUGAAAUUAUUUUAAAUAAUAAAAAACAACUUUUGACAACGGAUCUCUUGGCUCUC